Episyrphus balteatus (marmalade hoverfly) is the source of this 419-nucleotide long non-coding RNA. RefSeq lists it as uncharacterized. The transcript is spliced from 2 exons. The record is from RefSeq and is a predicted model, not a curated record. NCBI's taxonomy places the organism in Eukaryota, Metazoa, Arthropoda, Insecta, Diptera, Syrphidae.
ACCAAUGGGUUCAGCUUCAAGAGCAGGGACAGGGGUUGUCCAAUGCCGCCAUUAGCACCGCAAACAGUUACUUUGAAGUUGCUCUAAAGAAAUGUAAUUAAGAAAUAAGAAAUCAGUACAAGGAAAUAGAUAAAAAAUUGUUGCAUCUGGAAUAAAAAAAAAAUACCAAAAAGUAUUACGUAAAGCCUCUGACGUUUUCUUGGUCGAUGGGAAAAUGAUAUGAUUUUUUGAAAUAAACUUACUUGUUUGCUGGUGGAGAAGUUCCUGGUAGCUUGGAAAGCUAAUUGUUUGCUAACUUGCUUGAACAUUUUUAAUACCGUUAAAUUAUUUGCGGGAGCAAUUGAAAAAUAAUGUGGAUAAAAGUGAUACACUCGACAACCGACCUUCGACACAGAGGUUAUGCGAAAUAAAAUGAAAAA